UACGUAGGGUGCGAGCGUUAAUCGGAAUUACUGGGCGUAAAGCGUGCGCAGGCGGUUUUGUAAGCCAGAUGUGAAAUCCCCGGGCUUAACCUGGGAAUGGCAUUUGGGACUGCAAGGCUCGAGUGCGGCAGAGGAGACUGGAAUUCCUGGUGUAGCAGUGAAAUGCGUAGAUAUCAGGAGGAACACCGAUGGCGAAGGCAGGCCUCUGGGCUGACACUGACGCUCAUGCACGAAAGCGUGGGGAGCAAACAGG
RNAcentral lists this ribosomal RNA (253 nucleotides) under uncultured bacterium. RNAcentral's name for it is "partial 16S ribosomal RNA". It matches the Rfam family "Bacterial small subunit ribosomal RNA", at positions 524 to 776 of the family's 1533-position model. The record is from RNAcentral.